UACAGAGGUCCCAAGCGUUGUUCGGAUUCACUGGGCGUAAAGGGUGCGUAGGCGGUCGGGUAAGUCUGACGUGAAAUCUUUAAGCUUAACUUGGAAACUGCGUCGGAUACUAUUCGGCUAGAGGAAUGGAGGGGAGACUGGAAUACUUGGUGUAGCAGUGAAAUGCGUAGAUAUCAAGUGGAACACCAGUGGCGAAGGCGAGUCUCUGGACAUUUCCUGACGCUGAGGCACGAAAGCCAGGGGAGCAAACGGG
This 253-nucleotide ribosomal RNA is filed under the name uncultured bacterium. RNAcentral's name for it is "partial 16S ribosomal RNA". It matches the Rfam family "Bacterial small subunit ribosomal RNA", at positions 524 to 776 of the family's 1533-position model. The record is from RNAcentral.